AACAAGUACAGUGAUGGAAAGAUGAAAAGAACUCCGAAAGGAGAGUGAAAAAGGACGUGAAAUUGUUGAAAGGGAAGUGCUUGAGAUCAGUCUUAGGAUUCAGUGAUCAAUCUUCCUUUUGGUUGGUGCACUCACUGUUUUCUAGGCCAACAUCAGUUUUCGCGGCAGGAUAAUGUCCCAGGAAUGUGGCUCCCUCGGGAGUGUUAUAGCCUGGGUUGAUACUGCCAGCUUAGACUGAGGUCUGCGCUUUUUGCUAGGAUGUUGGCAUAAUGAUCUUAAUCAGCCCGUCUUGAAACACGGACCAAGGAGUCUAACAACUAUGCAAGUGUUUGGGUGUAAAACCCGUACGCGUAAUGAAAGUGAACGUAGAUGGGAACCUUUUGGUGCACCAUCGACCGAUCCUGAUGUCUUCGGAUGGAUUUGAGUAAGAGCAUAGCUGUUGGGACCCGAAAGAUGGUGAACUAUGCCUGAAUAGGGUGAAGCCAGAGGAAACUCUGGUGGAGGCUCGUAGCGAUUCUGACGUGCAAAUCGAUCGUCAAAUUUGGGUAUAGGGGCGAAAGACUAAUCGAACCAUCGGCGAAAAGCUACUAGGUGGUUAAGAGGGCCAUGAGUUGUGGUUCUAGUCCGAGGAAGUCGGGCAAGACUGUCAAAUUGCUGGAACACCCUAAAGACAAACGGUACUAAGCUGGACUGGAAACGGUUCGGUGGAGCAGUAACUACUGCCGAGUGAAAAUCUGUUUGUAUGUAACAAUGGGCAAUCAGCAGCAAGUCCUAAACCACAAGUGGCAUGGAUGCAGUUCAGAG
RNAcentral lists this ribosomal RNA (804 nucleotides) under Lipomyces lipofer. Its description in RNAcentral is "LSU rRNA". It matches the Rfam family "Eukaryotic large subunit ribosomal RNA", at positions 343 to 1162 of the family's 3401-position model. Lineage: Eukaryota; Fungi; Ascomycota; Lipomycetes; Lipomycetales; Lipomycetaceae. The record is from RNAcentral.